UUAAUUACAUUGCAUUUAUAUCAAAUGAUCAAUUUCUAUUCUCUUCAUUUUUUUCUCUCGCUUUAAAAUCUAUAUUGUCAAAGUAUGUUAGAAUAUGUUUCACAUCUAUAGAUGUUGAUCAUCACACAUUUCCGGUAAUCCCUUUUAUAUACAAUUUUACCAAAUUAUGAAGUUUUUCCCUGCAAACAAUAUGACAACAUUAAUACAAUAAAUGGAGAAUGCACACUCUCGUUUCUACCACACAGUGUUGUCAGUACAAUGAAAUUGUAUGCGACUGCCAUACAAGUGAGAGAUUAAGCUAGAUAUAAGCUACGAUUUUCUAUAUAUGGAAGUGUACCAAGUCAGGAAAUUGAUAGUUGUUUUUCAUACGUUUGAUGUUUGUGAGCUUUAGAUUUGGUCUUUUGUUAAGAACUUUUCGAUUUGAAUAUUUCUCUGAGUUCAGUAUUUUUGUUACUUUACCUUUUACACACAACUUAUGAAUUCUGACAUGAGACCCUUAGCUAAUAGUAAGAAUAGAAACAUUUUGAAGGGUCAUAAAAAUAAAAUGUAUGAUGGCACCAUAAAAGGGGAAGAGAAAGGAGGUUUAAUAAGAUACAACGUUAUAUCUCAAAAUGCACCCCUCAUGUAGUUACACGUAAUAUGUAGACAGUAUUUAUCCUUGUGAUUAUCAGGUUGCUUGCAUGUUGAUAUUGUAUAAUAUCAGGUACGAGUCACAAUAUGAAGCUUUUUGUCGAGUUAGCGUAGCGAAUGAGAUGAAAAAGCCUUCAUAUUGUGUCAAGCUGCUGAUAUUUUACAAUAUCAAUUUGCAUAUAACCUGACAAUCGAUUUAUCGGGCUGUUUUUUGCGUCUUUUUGAAAGUGUUUUCUUAGUUUCUUCAGCAACCGGAAGAUGAUAAGUUCGGAACAAACUUAUCAACGUCGGUUCAAACAUUAUGGCGUUGCUGAUAUGUCUUGGUUAUUAAGUUAUUUAGACCGGAUCAACUUAUUUGAAGUCACAAAGCCAUGAUAUGCAAUUACAUUAAGAGCUGAGCAGAGUGAUAUAGACAGUGGGACGACCGAUAAAUUCUUAUAUAUAUAUGUAUUAUGUUAUUUUCUCAUUCAAGAUAAUCAUAUAUUGUGUUUUUAACGUAACGGUAAUAAAUC
This 1142-nucleotide long non-coding RNA is filed under the name Mytilus galloprovincialis (Mediterranean mussel). Lineage: Eukaryota; Metazoa; Mollusca; Bivalvia; Mytilida; Mytilidae. The record is from RNAcentral.